Molecule: transfer RNA, 72 nt
Filed under: Plicaturopsis crispa FD-325 SS-3
Lineage: Eukaryota; Fungi; Basidiomycota; Agaricomycetes; Amylocorticiales; Amylocorticiaceae
Description: tRNA-Thr (TGT) (tRNA-Thr-TGT-1-1)
Rfam family: tRNA
About the family: Transfer RNA (tRNA) molecules are approximately 80 nucleotides in length. Their secondary structure includes four short double-helical elements and three loops (D, anti-codon, and T loops).
Source: RNAcentral
GCCACCUUGGCGUAGUGGUAGCGCGUCGCUCUUGUAAAGCGAAGGUCAUUCGUUCGAUCCGGGUAGGUGGCA